RNAcentral lists this unclassified non-coding RNA (1087 nucleotides) under Actinia tenebrosa (Australian red waratah sea anemone). RNAcentral describes it as "arginine and glutamate-rich protein 1-A-like, transcript variant X1". Lineage: Eukaryota; Metazoa; Cnidaria; Anthozoa; Actiniaria; Actiniidae. The record is from RNAcentral.
AAUAAAGGGGGCAUUACAGAUUCACUGAGAACAGCACAUUUAGCUUCAGAAGAAGAAGGAAGAGGGGUCAAAAAUCUCCUGUUUUCUCUUCAAAAUGCCUCGAAGUAGGUCCGUAUCAAGGUCUAGAUCUCGUUCUAGGAGUCGAAGUACAUCUCCACGUCGUAAACGAAAGGAUAGGACGUACAGAAAGCGAGGUUCAAAGAGUCAUAGUCGUUCUCGCUCGAGGCAAAGAAGUCGGUCGCCAUUAAACAGAAAAGACCGAUCUUCUCCGAGAAGACGAAGGAAUCGUUACUCGAGAAGUCGAAGUCGAAGCCGUUCUCCUAGUGUAGAUAGAUUUGGACGUACUAUACCUAAGAGGAAAGACGAUGAAACGAGAAAGAAGGAAGAUCAAGAGAGACUAUUAGAAAUGGAAAGGCAAAGGAAAAUACGGGCAGCUGAAAGGGAACAAAGAUUAAUUGAGGAAGAAACUCAGAAAAGGGUCGAAGAGAUGGUAGCCAAGAGAGUAGAAGAAGAGUUGGCGAAACGAAAAGAUGAAAUUGACAGCGAAGUUUUAAGGCGCGUGGAAGAAGCUAAAAAAGUCAUGGAAAAACAAAUGCUUGAAGAAUUCGAAAGGAGAAAACAAGAACAAAUGGAAGAAUUAAAAAAAAGAGAGGACUAUUGCGGCAUCAGGAUUAUUCUAUACAGCUUUGGAAUAAAACAAAGACAGUUUAUUUUGUUCAAAAGACUUGAAAGAUUUAUAAAACUGUAUCAAAGAAAAUCUAUCAAAGAGGUUUUGACAUGGUUGACCUCUCAGCCUCAAUGUCAUGUAAAACAAAAAACAUUUCCUUGAGAAACUAUGAGAAGCUUAAAUAGUGGCAUGCAAUGCAAGAUGCAGAUCUAGACACUACGCUGAUGGCAAUACAGAGAAACCAGUCGCAUUAGGGAUUGUUAAACCAAAACGUAUUCAUGCUGAAGAACGGCAAGAGCGAGAAAGACUUCAGAAUUUAGUUGCUGAAAAACAAAAAGCUAUUGAGGAAGCAGAGCAGAGGCUGGUAAGUACGAACACGUCUGGGGCCUCCUGCAAAGUGUGCAGGUUGGGUAACUGGUU